GGAUGUAAACUUGAAGUCGUAACUUGUGAGAAGUGUAUAUAUGCUGUCAAAAUUCUUUUGAAGUGAAUAUAUGCUGUCAAGAUUCAGUUCAAGUGCAUAUCUGCUUAAUUCGGUAUAAGUUGUCUGAAAUCAACCAUAAAGUGUAUAUCUGCUUAAUUCUUUUGAAGGGCAAUGUGGUUAACCUUGGCCGCAGCAUGCAAAACUCCCUCGUAAAGUACAAUCCGGGAAAACACGGAUAACUGAACAUACAAGGUAGUCGAUUUCGUAAGUUGAACAUCGGGAUAUAUCCGCGUGCUUGGCUUAACUGUAACCUUAUUUUUUUCACUCGUGUUUACUCGAGUACUUUACUUCGUGAUAGCCUUCGUGCUUCUUAUUAUCAUAUGGGGGAUGCUUCGCUUAUUCAUAACUUUGGAAAUUAAUAUUAAUAGGUUAACUCCACUAGAUUUAAAUUUUUAGAUCCAAUUUUCCACAUAGGUUUCAUUUUUUUUCCAUUUAUACAUUUUUUUCAAUGAUUAUUCUAAGCAUUAACAAGUACAUCGUAUUGGAGAAAAAGACCCCCUUUUAUAAGAGCCACAAAUCCAACCGUUAUGACUUGAACCAGUCAGCACGA
RNAcentral lists this long non-coding RNA (610 nucleotides) under Brachypodium distachyon (stiff brome). RNAcentral describes it as "long non-coding RNA (BDIS_LNC001070)". The record is from RNAcentral. Lineage: Eukaryota; Viridiplantae; Streptophyta; Magnoliopsida; Poales; Poaceae.